GAUUUUGAUGCUAGUUAUCCUUAUCCUGAUCCUGGUUUGAUCCUUAUCCUGAUGCUGGUUUGAAACUAGGUCAAUGCUAGUAAUGCUACCGGAAGUAGGAUUAUCCUGCCGGAAGUUGAUAAUUCAAAAACAGCAUCGCUAUUUUAAGCCAUUAAAAAUAAUGUUUGGGUAGGUGGAAUAGCCCUAGUGUGUGCAACGUGUAAGCAUGGAAACGUGAUGGACAAUGAACAUGAUGAAGUUUAUGUCAAAUCCAGAUGAAAAUUUAUUGCGUGUCCUGUGACUAUUUUAGCGAAAAUAUUAUGCUUUAGCCUAAAUGGAAUUUAAAGUCGUAAUCCAAGGAACCAAUAGAUCAUCAGUACAGUCACUACAACCACUCAGAGGGCCCAUGACAGAGUAAACAAAGCAGAAAUUCCUCCAGGAUUAAAGUAUGCUGGUCUUCUCUAUGGACCUAAAUCCAGCUGAUGAAAUUCUAUCUGUUAAAAUAGUGAAACUCAAGCCAGGAACUUCUGUUAAUCAGACAGUGACAUUAAAGAAAUCCAUUGAUGACAUACAUAUAUACAUUUUAAAGUUAUCUCCCACUUAGAUCUAAAAUGAAAUGGACAGAAUUUAAAGUUUAAAGUGGAUUUCAAGUGAUUUGUGUAUUGUACAUAAUUAGAUAUGAGAUGUAUGUAAAUAGAAAUGCAUC
Saccostrea cuccullata (small rock oyster) is the source of this 685-nucleotide long non-coding RNA. RefSeq lists it as uncharacterized. The record is from RefSeq and is a predicted model, not a curated record. The transcript is spliced from 3 exons. NCBI's taxonomy places the organism in Eukaryota, Metazoa, Mollusca, Bivalvia, Ostreida, Ostreidae.